UUAAACCAUUUAACAAUUCAACCCAUCAAAUUAAAUGAUUUAUGGGUUGACCCAACUUAUUUUGUUAAAUAGGUUGGGUCAACCCAUAACUCAUUUAACCCUAAACUCAUUUGAUUAUGAGU
RNAcentral lists this microRNA precursor (122 nucleotides) under Arabidopsis thaliana (thale cress). RNAcentral describes it as "microRNA MIR405". It matches the Rfam family "MIR405 microRNA precursor family". RNAcentral also lists the same sequence under 2 other names. The record is from RNAcentral. Lineage: Eukaryota; Viridiplantae; Streptophyta; Magnoliopsida; Brassicales; Brassicaceae.